UCUCUAACCCUAAUUUUGCUGCAGAUGAGAAACGAGCGUCCUCUUCCUUUAUCAUGCGACGCCGACCACAUGUCGUUUCCGCUUCUUCGCAUUGAUUGAAACGGUCUUAGUAAAUGCUUUGUGAUCAAUCCGAAUGGUUCUCUCCCCCACUAUGUCAUCUUCAAUGCUUUUCCGAUCUGAAAGGCGGUGGUGUUUGGGUAUAAAUAUGGAAUUUUUUCCUCUGAUCCGAAGGCCAGGAACGUUUGAUGCGGUGGUAAACUCAGGGAGUGAAUAUGCUCUUAUUGGAUUGACAGGUACAUUUCGGCCGCUGCACAUACUUCUUCUUACGCCUCUUAAACGGUGUCUCAUGUAGCUGCAUCGGCGGUUUGCGUAUGCACUACCCAAUGUCAGCUGGAGAGAAGAAAAUCCAAGAGAGCCAUGUUGAAGCAGAUCACAUCGACAUUAUAGCUUUUGCCAAAUCUGCACGUAAUACUCUUAAGUCCUAUAUCAUACACAAAUUUAGAGACAUAAAAAGAGGUCGUGCUUUUCUUUCUCUCUGUAUACACUUGAAUAUGCAAUAGGAGGAAUUAAAAAUAUUUUUGUGUUGUUAUUCUAUGUUAUCAGAAAAUACAGAACUCUGAGCAAAUAGUUGUUCUUCUUCUUUGAUGUAGUUGAACACAGUUUUGUAUUUUUGAAAUGACUUUUACGGCCAAUAUCAUAAAUACAACUUGCAAUGAGUAUUUACGGCUAUGUCUUUGAAAGACUCUUCUGGCGAAAAUAAUAUAUUAAUAUGGCUGUCCACUGAAAGGAAUUUAUUUGUAUUUUGAGUGUUUACUGAUUCUCAUAACCUUUACAAUAUAUCUAUGAGCUUGAUGUUGGUAUGUAACAGUGACAUGAAGGCUUUGAAUUGCUUAAUCUGUCUAUCUAAAUAAAUAAAAUGAUUGUCAGUUUGUUUCUAUAGAAACAGGUGUAUGUUCCUAGAUUACCCAAGAAAGAAGGCUACAUGUAAAAUUUUAUUCUGCAACAGCUUCUUUAGGUGGUGGAUAUGAUGCACAGUCUGAACAAACUUCAGGAAAGUUGUCUUUAAGAAAACACUGAAGCUAAAUGCAAAGAGGAAAAACUAAUUGUGGCCACAAUCAGCAUUGACUAAGUACACAACUCCUAGGAUUGGAUUGUAAUCAAGUAGCAUCUAUUUUGUAAAUAUGAAAUCACUCAGCUGUUAUAUGUGGUUUUAGUGUAGAAAGAUAUGAAAUAAUCAAACGUAACCGCAACUAAGAAUUAUUUUUACAUUUUCAAUAUGACUAAACCUCCACAACUAUUUUAGAUCAUAAAUAUAAAAAAAAAAACAAUUCACCCUUACAAUGAAGACACACUCGAGCUUUACAUUCAUAUGCUAUGUAUCGGUCAAUCAAAAUUUAAUUUCCGUCUAAGACACAUUCCGUAGUUAUAA
Long non-coding RNA from Raphanus sativus (radish), 1429 nucleotides. RefSeq lists it as uncharacterized. The record is from RefSeq and is a predicted model, not a curated record. Lineage: Eukaryota; Viridiplantae; Streptophyta; Magnoliopsida; Brassicales; Brassicaceae. The transcript is spliced from 4 exons.